RNAcentral lists this ribosomal RNA (366 nucleotides) under uncultured Methanosaeta sp. RNAcentral describes it as "bacterial SSU rRNA". It matches the Rfam family "Archaeal small subunit ribosomal RNA", at positions 973 to 1338 of the family's 1478-position model. The record is from RNAcentral. Lineage: Archaea; Methanobacteriati; Methanobacteriota; Methanomicrobia; Methanotrichales; Methanotrichaceae.
GGAUUAGCUGAGAGGUGGUGCAUGGCCGUCGUCAGUUCGUACUGUGAAGCAUCCUGUUAAGUCAGGCAACGAGCGAGACCCACGCCCACAGUUGCCAGCGUACUCUCUGGAGUGACGGGUACACUGUGGGGACCGCCGCUGCUAAAGCGGAGGAAGGAGUGGGCAACGGUAGGUCAGUAUGCCCCGAAUAUCCCGGGCUACACGCGAGCUACAAUGGUUGGUACAAUGGGUAUCUACCCCGAAAGGGGACGGGAAUCUCCUAAAACCAAUCUUAGUUCGGAUUGAGGGCUGCAACUCGCCCUCAUGAAGCUGGAAUCCGUAGUAAUCGCGUUUCAACAGAACGCGGUGAAUACGUCCCUGCUCCUU